RNAcentral lists this ribosomal RNA (317 nucleotides) under uncultured eukaryote. Its description in RNAcentral is "partial 18S ribosomal RNA". It matches the Rfam family "Eukaryotic small subunit ribosomal RNA", at positions 1470 to 1796 of the family's 1831-position model. The record is from RNAcentral.
CCCCUAGAUGUUCUGGGCCGCACGCGCGCUACACUGAACAGUUCAACAAGUCUUAACCUUGGCUCGAGAGGCCUGGGCAACCUUUGAACGCCAGUCGUGCUGGGGAUAGAUUCUUGCAAUUAUUAAUCUUCAACGAGGAAUUCCUAGUAAACGCAAGUCAUCAGCUUGCAUUGAUUACGUCCCUGCCCUUUGUACACACCGCCCGUCGCACCUACCGAUUGAAUGGUCCGGUGAAAUCCUCGGAUCGAGCCGUGGGGCAACUCCGGUUCGAGAAGUUGAUUAAACCUUACCAUUUAGAGGAAGGUGAAGUCGUAACA